RNAcentral lists this ribosomal RNA (653 nucleotides) under Digenea sp. strigea cercaria. Its description in RNAcentral is "partial large subunit ribosomal RNA". Lineage: Eukaryota; Metazoa; Platyhelminthes; Trematoda. The record is from RNAcentral.
AGCUAGCGAGUGUGUCGUGUGCUUGGUCAUUGUCGGCCGGCUUCUAGAGUCCGCUUAGCUGCGGGUCCUUGCUUCUUCGGGAGUAGGGAUGUGCGUUGCGCUUGACAAGUGCUGUGCGCUCUGGAGGUUGCCGGGCUGGCUCGCCAGUGCACUUCCUCGGAGUGGUCACCACGACCGGCGUUGUUGUCUUACUGCUGUAGUCGAACCGAUCAGGUUUGGUCCUUGUGGCCGGGCUUGGUCGGGAUGGCAGGUAGCUCAUUGGUUGGCUUGUCCAGUCUUUGGGUGUAAUCAGCUGGCUGCAGCAGUUUUGUGCAAUGCGUCGGAGACGGCGGCUUUAGGUAUGUGCUCGUGUGCCGCUUUCUGGCAGCGUGUGGUUUGGCUGACGUGUUUACCUGCUUCGGUGGGUCCGUUGGUGGCCGCGUGCUGUUCGGAGGGUGGUUGCACUUGUGAUACCGAUGAUGGGCCUACAGUCUGUGGUGUAGCGGCAAACGAUCCACCUGACCCGUCUUGAAACACGGACCAAGGAGUUUAACAUGUGCGCGAGUCAUUGGGCGUUACGAAACCCAGAGGCGCACUGAAAGUGAAGGUUCGGCUUGUCCGGGCUGAGGUGAGAUCCUGUGGCUUCUCGUGCGAGGUACCACCAACCAAGUGAG